Molecule: ribosomal RNA, 429 nt
Filed under: Chloroflexota bacterium
Lineage: Bacteria; Bacillati; Chloroflexota
Description: Chloroflexi bacterium partial 16S ribosomal RNA
Rfam family: Bacterial small subunit ribosomal RNA
Source: RNAcentral
UGGGGAAUAUUGCACAAUGGGCGCAAGCCUGAUGCAGCCAUGCCGCGUGUAUGAAGAAGGCCUUCGGGUUGUAAAGUACUUUCAGCGGGGAGGAAGGGAGUAAAGUUAAUACCUUUGCUCAUUGACGUUACCCGCAGAAGAAGCACCGGCUAACUCCGUGCCAGCAGCCGCGGUAAUACGGAGGGUGCAAGCGUUAAUCGGAAUUACUGGGCGUAAAGCGCACGCAGGCGGUUGAUUGAGUCAGAUGUGAAAUCCCCGGGCUUAACCCGGGAAUUGCAUCUGAUACUGGUCAGCUAGAGUCUUGUAGAGGGGGGUAGAAUUCCAGGUGUAGCGGUGAAAUGCGUAGAGAUCUGGAGGAAUACCGGUGGCGAAGGCGGCCCCCUGGACGAAGACUGACGCUCAGGUGCGAAAGCGUGGGGAGCAAACAGG